CCAGUUCCUCAGGAGCCUCCUCCAGAGGGCUGGUGGACAGUGCUGGUGGGAGGCUGACGGCACCGCUGUACCGCUGGGACAGGCCGCUGGACCGCAGCACGCUGGGGGUCUCAUAGUUGGGCGGCGACUGGCUGGUGAUGGAGGAUGGGAGAGCAACACUCAGAUGCACAGUGCGGCGCCACCUGCAGCGCCUGGCCACAGCCCGGCCACCACAGAGGUGACGCCCCAUGACACACCACACGGAUCACCACACCACACUACCCGCCACCUCGACACAGGAACUACACUGGAGGGCUGCUGCUUCAUCUAUGGCCAGGACCCAACACAGCAAAUUGUGAUUAUAAUUACAUCCAUGAACAGAGUCAGGAAAGGAUGAGAAGCAACUAGUAGUGAGGUGUGGUUGGUCAACACUCCUGGCUGUUGAGUUGAGGGAAAAGUAAAGGGGUAGUGGGAAACAGAAUCUGUACAAGGAUGAAAGAGUACAAGCAACAAAACUAUUAUAGCUGUAGUAGUGAAAGUAGUAGUAGUGGUAAAAGUGGUUGUAAUAGUAGUAGUAGUAGUAAGGCUAUUGCUGCAUGAAAAGCACAACAUCGUACCAAAGUAGCUGAGAACUGAGGCACAAAAUCAGGAGAUAAAACAGGAGCCGACUGAGGAGUACUCAGCUGCAAAAGAAACGAGUGAAAUAGUACAAAUUCCCAGCGACCACCAGCCCAGCUGCCACUUGCUGUCAGUGAUGCACUAGUCAGGCACAGCAAAGCCUCAUCUUGCUGACCUCUUAAAGAUGUUUUUAAGUUAUGGGAGAUUUGUAUUGUGUGGUUAUAAUAGAUAAAUACAUAAAUAAAGCUGAUUUUUAUUUUCUAUGAGGUUCAGAAUGUAUUGUAGUUUACAAGAUGCAUAACAAUGAGUGAAGCUUUGCUGUGCUGAGAAAAGUAACCUUCCACCAUCCUAACUGAUAUUAAGAGAGGUAAAUUUUAACUUAGUGAUGUGAUACAGUGGCUGCAAAUAACCUAAAACAAAGAAAAGUUAAAUCUACUUAAGAGGUGAAAAGCCUUGAAUCCCCGGUGUGGUAAGGAAUGAGAGGGGGCAACAUGGCUAACAGCAACAUAACUUUAAUAGAUGAUGCAGUGGGUGAUGUUUUCUAUUCAUGGAAUUAUUAAAAUUUUGUGAGUAAGGUGAAGAGCUCAGGACUUUUUGAGUUAAUCCAAAAGCAUUAUACACAAAAAAAGUGUACUCAAUCAUCAGACCAAAACAAGCGACUACCUUCCAGCAUUCCAUAUUGAAGAGAUGUUACUGAGCAAAGAAAAAUAAAAAGGGACAUUUUGCUAUUAUAAAAUUAUUCUUUGUGCAUUAAUUCAUUCCCUUGAAAACUAAGGGGAGAGCACAACAACAGAUUUGCACCAACACCCAUGACUUGUGCUGUUAGAGGUAGGGGAGGAAGGGAGAGGAAGAUAGGAGGGAAGAGUGGGAGAAAUGGGAGAUGGCUGUUGCUGUGAAGCUUCAUGUGUCAUUCAAUUCUAUCUCAUAAGAACUUGUAAGAACUAAUUUAUUUCACUUGUUAUCCUGAACUUAAUGCUGCUGCUGAAAGUAAUAAAAACUAAAAUAAACCUGAAUGGGGGAAAAAAAAAAAUUGCUCCAAAUCUUUACUGUAAUUCAUGAAAAAAAUACUGAAAUUCAUGAGAAAAAAAAAAAGUUAGUUCAAUA
Scylla paramamosain (green mud crab) is the source of this 1701-nucleotide long non-coding RNA. RefSeq lists it as uncharacterized. The transcript has 3 exons. NCBI's taxonomy places the organism in Eukaryota, Metazoa, Arthropoda, Malacostraca, Decapoda, Portunidae. The record is from RefSeq and is a predicted model, not a curated record.